RNAcentral lists this ribosomal RNA (253 nucleotides) under uncultured bacterium. Its description in RNAcentral is "partial 16S ribosomal RNA". It matches the Rfam family "Bacterial small subunit ribosomal RNA", at positions 524 to 776 of the family's 1533-position model. The record is from RNAcentral.
UACGUAGGUGGCAAGCGUUGUCCGGAUUUAUUGGGUUUAAAGGGUGCGUAGGCGGCUUUGUAAGUCAGUGGUGAAAUAUGGCAGCAUAACUGUCAGGGUGCCAUUGAUACUGCGGAGCUUGAGUACAGAUGAGGUAGGCGGAAUUGACGGUGUAGCGGUGAAAUGCUUAGAUAUCGUCAAGAACACCUAUAGCGAAGGCAGCUUACUAGGCUGUAACUGACGCUGAGGCACGAAAGUGUGGGGAUCAAACAGG